GGUGGCUCAGUGGUAGAGCACUUGCUUUGCAUGCGUGAGGCCCUGGGUUCGAUUCCUCAGCACCA
Molecule: transfer RNA, 65 nt
Filed under: Dipodomys ordii (Ord's kangaroo rat)
Lineage: Eukaryota; Metazoa; Chordata; Mammalia; Rodentia; Heteromyidae
Rfam family: tRNA
About the family: Transfer RNA (tRNA) molecules are approximately 80 nucleotides in length. Their secondary structure includes four short double-helical elements and three loops (D, anti-codon, and T loops).
Source: Rfam by way of RNAcentral